Balaenoptera acutorostrata (minke whale) is the source of this 4897-nucleotide long non-coding RNA. RefSeq lists it as uncharacterized. The transcript has 3 exons. The record is from RefSeq and is a predicted model, not a curated record. Lineage: Eukaryota; Metazoa; Chordata; Mammalia; Artiodactyla; Balaenopteridae.
AUGGGCAAGUCUCUUCAUGCCAGCUGCCAUCACUGUGAAAUGGUAGAGAGAGAGGCUUAGAAAAUCAAACGACUCUGACCAUCGUGAUUCUGCAGGUCAGAUAACUGCUUUAAGCCUCAGUUUCUUCAUCUGAAAAAUGAGAAUCACGUUUACCUACUCUACCCGCCAGGACUCUGGUGAGAAUCCAGUUAGAUGAACUGUUAUGAUGCCUAAGAACAACGAAUAUUUGGACAAUAUUUGGGCCACACAAUCUCACUUGCCAUUCCAGCAACCCUAUGAGGUGACUUAGGAGGCUUCCAGUUUUGACUACAACCCUGAGAAAAGAGGACUCUGCAGCUGAUCCAGGCUGUGAUGCCAGCUGUUCUGCUGCUUCAGCCAUUUGACCAGCAGUUACCAUGGUGCCCAAAAUGUCUAUGGUGCGUGAGGACACUGUGCAGAGUGCCUGAGAGCAUCCACUUCAGAAGAGACCACCACCACCACUCCGCCCACUUCCCUCCACCACACUAGCCUCUCUCCUUGGCCAUCCUAGAACUUGCCAGGUGAGCCCAAAGAUAAUGGCCAUGUUGGCAUGGAUGAAAGUUCUUCAUGGACUCGACUGCAAUGAAUCCUUCUCAACAAGGAUGAUUUAAUGCUUGGCCUUUUAGCAUCAGAGAAUGAUGCAGAGCCCUUGAUACGGCAUCAUUCUCCAGAGAGACCUGCCAGCUACUUGAUGGCUGGUUGACCACAUUGGAUAUCUUAUACUGUGGCGGAGGCAGUGAUUUCUUUUUGCUAGAAUCGAUAAUUUGAUAGAUUUGCAUUCUCUGAUUGCAUAACCUUCACCAGUACUAUUAUCUGAUAUCUUACAGCAUGCCUGGUUUAUUGUCAUGGCAUCUCCUACAUGCUGCCUCUGGUCAAGGGGCCCGUUUUAUAGCAAAGGAAUUAGGCAAUGAACUCAUCACCACAUGAUUCAUUGGUAAAUAUAACCCAUCACCUAGGAGUAGUCAGCCUGAUAUUAACAGUGGAACAACUAAGUAAAAGUUCAGCUAAGGCACCAGCCUAGGGACAGUACCUUAUAGGGUUAUAGUGCUGUCCUUUACAUGUGGUGUAUGUGCUGAACCAGUGGCUGAUAUAUGUUGCUGUGUCCUUAAUAGGUAAAAUAUGUAGGUCCAUGAACAAAGGGGUAGAAGUAGGAUUGGCUCUUUCAUGAUCAAUCCUGGUGACCUGAUUAUGAAAUCUGUAUUUACCAUUCCUGCAAAUAUAGUGGGAGAAACACUUCCUCCAGGGGACACAGUAAAAUUUUCAUUGUAUUUGGGGCUGUGAUUCCCACUUAGCAGUUUUAGCUCCUCAUGCCAGUGGACCAGCAGAAAAGAAAAAAGUUACAAAUAGGCAAUAGUAAUUGACCUGAUUAGCAUUAGGACAUGGGGUUGCUACUACACAAUACGGGUAGAGAACAAUAUAUCUGGAACCCAGGAGAUUCAUGGGACAUCUCUUGUUGAUUCAAUAUCCAGUGCUAACCAUUAAUGGUCAGUUGCCAACCAUGACCUGAAAAAGGCACAGCAACUAAGGAUUAAGACCCUCUAAGGAUGAAGCUCUGGGUCACCCCUCUAAGCAAGCAACCUAGACCAGCUGCAGUGCUAGUUGAAAGUGAAAGAAAUCCAACAUGGCUAAUGGAGGAGAAUGAUGAUGAAUAUCAAUUAGCCUCAGGAUCAGCUGCAGCUUUAGCUGUGGGGACUGGAUCUUGGUUUGCUAACCCUAUUUAAGUCAUUGCAGGAUAUCACACCUAGCCAUUAUCUUUUGAAAAAAAAUUAAAGUAUAAUUCAUUUACAAUGCUAUUUUAGUUUCAGGUGUACCGCAUAGUAUCCAAUAUUUUUAUCCAUUAUGAAAUGAUCACCACAAUAAGUCUAAUCUUAUUGUCUGUCACUAUACAGUUAUUACAAUAUUAUUGACUAUAUUCCCUCUACUGUACAUUACAUCCCCAUGACUUAUUUUAUAACUGGAAGUUUGUACCUCUUAAUCCCCUUCCCCUAUUCCACUCAUCCCCCCCACUUCCUCCCCUCUGGCAACCACCAGAUUGUUCUCUGUACCUAUGAGUCUUUUUCUGUUUUGUUGUGCUUGUUCCUUUGCUUUUUAAAGAUUCUACAUAUAAGUGAACUCAUACAGUAUUUGUCUUUCUCUGUCUGACUUAUUUCACUUAGCAUAACACUGUCUAGGUCCAUCCAUGUUGUCACAAAUGGCAAGAUUUCAUUUUAUUUUAUGGCUGAGUAAUAUUCCAUUGUACGUAUAUAUCACACCUCCUUUAUCCAUUCAUCUAUCGAUGAACACUUACAUAGUCAUCAUCUUGAAGGAUUGGACUUGCACUUCUUUUAGGUAAGAAGUGAGGGCUUCUUGUUUUCAUAUGAGAUCCAGAUAUACUAAGAGGGUGUGAACAGAUAUGAGAGAUGCAAGUGGUGCCCUGCACCAAACCCAGUUUAUGUGCCCCAUGAGAUAUGCUCAUGUGCUCUGCCCCAGGCCCUAGACUCUUGUCAAUGGAGAGUCCUGUCCCCUACUGCCGCUUCUCAUCUCCUAACGCUGCCAACUCUCUCAGCCUCUUUUAGGAUGGGAUCUGCUUUAACACAGCUUCCAAUGUGCUUUCCACGUGGGGACCACAGUAGCUCUGGUGCUCAGGUCCAACCAUAAUGCACCCAAGAAGGCUCUGGGUCCUCCUAAGGCUUCCAAAUGUGGAUGAAGCACCAUAUUGCAGGAUGUAAUAGCUGGCUUUCCCAGAAGCUUUUUGGAAAGACUGGAUUACAAAGCCCCAAAAGUAGGGAAGUUAAUGUUCCAUGGGACAAACCUUGAAGAAUGAGAGACAGCAGAUCAAUUCCUCCUCCUUCCUUCCCAUGACAUACUGUUUCAGGGUGUGGCAUUCUUGAUAACCUGUUGGUAAGGUAUUCUGCAUGACCAAGUGGUUGCCUAUUCUUUCUGGGGAAACUGUGGCUGGUUUUGUAAUACACCACCUUGUAUUUGCUUUCUUUUCUCCCCUGCUUUAUUUCGCUUUCCCCCCUCACUCUUGCUGCCUGGGAUUGUACUUCCAAGGAAAGAUUUAUCAGGUAAACUUUGCCUCAGGCUCUGAUUUGCAGGGGACCCAGGCUAAGACAAGUAGAGGUUCAGAGUGGAGUGACCGGAUGAGAGGUUUUUGUUUUUUAAAAAAAGGCUGUUGUAGAAAGCAACAGAAAUGGUUUGAGUAACUAAGAUAAAAGGGAGGGAAUAUUUUAAAGGAAUGUAAUUCAAAGGAACAAAGCAAAGACUGAACAAGCCCAUAGAGCAGAUGGGAACCAAGGAAGAUCUGCUGAUGUUUAUAACAGAAUUAAUGGAUGGUAUUUGUGAUAGUUUUAAAAGAUAAGCACAAAUUUUUGGAUACUCCUUCCUUCAAGAGGUGGAGCCUAAUCCCCUCUUGUUGAAUGUGGGCUGUACUUAGUGACUCACUUCUAAUGAAUAAAAUAUGGCAGAAAUGAUGGUCUGUGGCUUCUGAAUCUAGGCCAUAGAAAACACUGUGACUUUCACCUUCCUCCCUCUUCGAUCAUUUGAUCUGGAGGAAGCCUGCAGCUGCCGUGUCUUGAUGACUAUCAAGCAGCCCCAUAGAGAGGCCUGGGUGGUAGGGACCUGAGUCCUCCUGCCAACAGCCAUGUGAGUGCACCAUCUUGGAAGCAAUCUCCCGGUCCCGGCCAAGCUUUCAUAUGACUGCAGCUUUGGCUGACAUCUUGACGGCAACCCUGAGAGGGCCUGAGCCAGACCACCAGCUAAGAACCUCUAGAGUUCAUGACCUGUAGAAACCGUGGGGUAAAUGUUUAUCAUUUUUAGCAAAUGAGUUUUGGUGUAAUUUGUUUUGCAGCAGUAGAUAACAAAGAUGGUAUCUUUAAGGUAUCUCCAAUGAUUAUUGAUCUUGGUGUCAGUAUUAUUAGCCCCAUCUGCAAAAUAGGCACAGUAAUGGUACCUCACUCAUAGAGCUGUUUACGAGGCUACAAGAUGCUCCCCACAGUGCCUAGCACAGAGCGAGACUUCAAUAGAUGUUACUAGUGCUAGCAGUAGUCAUCGUCAUCAUCUCAGGAUUCAAAUUCCCAGGAAAGAGAAUCUGAUUGACUUAGCUUGGGUUGUGUGCCUUCCUCGUGGGCAAGGGAGCACAGGGCACUCUAACUGAGAGUCCUACCAGGUCUGUAUUUCCUCAAAGGAAAUUAAGAUGCUGUUUGCCAGGCAAGAAAAAGCAACGCUAACUACAAAGGGUGUGUAUACUUUCAGGUUCCUUUUACAUAAAGCCAAACUGCUUUCCAAAAAACGUUGUGUCAAUAUAUAUGCUCCUGCCAACAGCACGAGCGCAUCCUCUCACUCCACCUUUGCCAACAUUGCUGUUAUCCUGAAGAAAAGAAGAGCCAGUUUAGUGGACGAAAAAUAAUGAUAUCUUAUUGCUUAUGUCUACACUUCUUUACUAGUGAAGCUGAAUAUGUUUCCAUGUUUUAUUGGCCGUUUGUAUGUCUUGUUUGGUGAGUUAAGGAACAUUCAUCUAAAAAGUGGGAUAUUGGGACUUCCCUGAUGGCACAGUGGUUAAGAAUCCGCCUGCCAAUGCAGGGGACAUGGGUUUGAGCCCUGGUCCGGGAAGAUCCCACAUACUGCAGAGCACCUAAGCCCGUGCGCCACAACUACUGAGCCUGCGCACCACAACUACUGAAGCCCGCAUACCUAGAGCCCAUGUUCCGCAACGAAAAGUAGCCCCCGCUCACCACAACUAGAGAAAGCCCACGCGCAGCAACGAAGACCCAACGCAGCCAUAAAUAAAUAAACAAAUAAAUUUAUUUUAAAAAAAGGUGGGAUAUACAGUUAUUUCUAUUGACUUAUGUGAUUUAUUUAUGUGCUAAUGGCAUCAAUUUUCUGACAUAUAUUACAAGUA